This 478-nucleotide ribosomal RNA is filed under the name uncultured Lachnospiraceae bacterium. RNAcentral describes it as "bacterial SSU rRNA". It matches the Rfam family "Bacterial small subunit ribosomal RNA", at positions 28 to 506 of the family's 1533-position model. The record is from RNAcentral. Lineage: Bacteria; Bacillati; Bacillota; Clostridia; Lachnospirales; Lachnospiraceae.
GAUGAACGCUGGCGGCGUGCUUAACACAUGCAAGUCGAACGAAGCUGCUUAAAGGAAGUCUUCGGAUGGAAUUUAGGUAGACUUAGUGGCGGACGGGUGAGUAGCGCGUGGAUAACCUGCCUUAUACAGGGGGAUAACGGAGAGAAAUUUCCGCUAACACCGCAUAAGACCACAGCACCGCAUGGUGCAGGGGUAAAAUAUUUAUAGGUAUAAGAUGGAUCCGCGUCCGAUUAGCUAGUUGGUGAGGUAAAGGCCCACCAAGGCGACGAUCGGUAGCCGGCCUGAGAGGGUGAACGGCCACAUUGGGACUGAGACACGGCCCAAACUCCUACGGGAGGCAGCAGUGGGGAAUAUUGGACAAUGGGGGAAACCCUGAUCCAGCGACGCCGCGUGAGUGAAGAAGUAUUUCGGUAUGUAAAGCUCUAUCAGCAGGGAAGAAAAUGACGGUACCUGACUAAGAAGCCCCGGCUAACUACUG